Molecule: unclassified non-coding RNA, 418 nt
Filed under: fungal sp.
Lineage: Eukaryota; Fungi
Description: partial internal transcribed spacer region
Rfam family: Eukaryotic small subunit ribosomal RNA (bases 1-46)
Source: RNAcentral
AAGUCGUAACAAGGUUUCCGUAGGUGAACCUGCGGAAGGAUCAUUAAUACGCUUUUGUUUGUAACAAAACAAAACGUUUUAAACUCCAAAAGAAAUAGUGGAAAUAUAACUUCCGGAUGCGAAUGUUGGGAACUGAGUAAAAUCGGUUCUUUGAAAAAGGGACUUCAAGCAAUUGACACUUCAGAGUAGAGCAGUGAGGUGAAAUUCUCUUUUCCAAGAGAGUUUGGUUCUGAAAACAUUUGUAUCCGGUUAUCAUAAUCUGUUCUACAAACUCCAAAAUAUCAAACAAUAAACCCCAUGUACAACAACUUGAACUAAACAUUUUUUUGUUAUCUACUUGCACACUUGUUGUGUGAGAAGCUACAAAGAAAAAACCUGAACUUAAGAACAACUCUUAACAACGGAUAUCUUGGUUCUC